This 453-nucleotide long non-coding RNA is filed under the name Homo sapiens (human). RNAcentral's name for it is "HSALNT0227875". Lineage: Eukaryota; Metazoa; Chordata; Mammalia; Primates; Hominidae. The record is from RNAcentral.
CUCAACUCCCACUAGCUUCCUGGGGGGAUAACAUCUCUGACUGUGUGUCACUAUAGUAACAGGUGCCUAAAGUUGGUUUUCAGGAACUAGUAUUACCAGAAAUGGAUCCCAAUCCAGACCACAGGAGAGGCUUCUUGGAUCUCAUGCAAGAAAGAAUCCAGGAUUUACAGACGAGCAACUGAGAUGCAGACAGAUUGAGGAAAUCUCUCAAAGUCACACCGUGAGUUAAAUGGUGGAUCUGAAGUUUAAUUGGAGGCUUAUUGCCUCCUGUGUUUAUCAUCUUGCCACUCUGCACUACUGAUUUUUCUAGAAGAACAUGGCAAACAUUCAGAUAUCUGACCUCUGGGGCUCCUGGAUGCCACUGUUCAGAGAAGAUGCCCAGAUCAAUACCAUCUUCAAGUCACUGACUCAUAAAACUUAAAGCUGAUCAAGCUCCUUCCUCUCAUUUUAAGG